AUUGAACGCUGGCGGCAGGCUUAACACAUGCAAGUCGAACGGCAGCACAGUAAUCGCUUGCUCUUAGAGGUGCCGACUGGUGAGUGAUAGAGCAGUACAUCCCCAUCUACUUUUUCGUGGGGGACAAAGGAGGGAAUAAUACCCUAUUACCGCUUACGACGUACGCGGGGAAGCAGCGGAUCUCGCGCCCUUGGAGGGGCCGAUGGCCCGAUGGCGGAUUAGCUAGUUGGCGGGGUAAAGGCCCACCAAGGCGACGAUCGGUAGCUGGUCUGAGAGGAUGACCAGCCACACUGGAACUGAGACACGGCCCAGACUCCUACGGGAGGCAGCAGUGGGGAAUAUUGGACAAUGGGCGCAAGCCUGAUCCAGCCAUGCCGCGUGUGUGAAGAAGGCCUUCGGGUUGUAAAGCCCUUUUGGUGGGAACGAAAAGCAGCAUGUUAAUACCCCGCUGUGCUGACGGUACCCAAAGAAUAAGCACCGGCUAACUUCGUG
RNAcentral lists this ribosomal RNA (492 nucleotides) under uncultured bacterium. RNAcentral's name for it is "partial 16S ribosomal RNA". It matches the Rfam family "Bacterial small subunit ribosomal RNA", at positions 30 to 507 of the family's 1533-position model. The record is from RNAcentral.